UACGUAGGGUGCAAGCGUUAAUCGGAAUUACUGGGCGUAAAGCGUGCGCAGGCGGUUUUGUAAGUUUUGUCGUGAAAUCCCCGGGCUCAACCUGGGAAUUGCGAUGAAGACUGCAAGGCUAGAAUCUGGCAGAGGGGGGUAGAAUUCCGACGUGUGAGCAGUGAAAUGCGUAGAGAUGUGGAGGAACACCGAUGGCGAAGGCAGCCCCCUGGGUCAAGAUUGACGCUCAUGCACGAAAGCGUGGGGAGCAAACA
RNAcentral lists this ribosomal RNA (254 nucleotides) under uncultured bacterium. Its description in RNAcentral is "partial 16S ribosomal RNA". It matches the Rfam family "Bacterial small subunit ribosomal RNA", at positions 524 to 774 of the family's 1533-position model. The record is from RNAcentral.